RNAcentral lists this long non-coding RNA (4237 nucleotides) under Homo sapiens (human). Its description in RNAcentral is "HSALNT0311196". Lineage: Eukaryota; Metazoa; Chordata; Mammalia; Primates; Hominidae. The record is from RNAcentral.
GGAAUUUUCACUGUAGGGAUCUUUCAUCUCCCUGGUGAGCUGUAUUCCUAGGUAUUUUAUUCUUUUUGUGGCAUUGUGAAUGGGAUUGCCUUCCUGAUUUGACUCUUGGCUUGGCUGUUGUUGAUGUAUAGGAAAGCUAGUGAUUUUUGUACAUUGAUUUUGUAUCCUGAAACUUUGCUGAAGUUGUUUAUCAGCUGAAGGAGCUUUGGGGCUGAGACUGUAGGGUUUUCUAGACAUAGAAUCAUGUCCUCUGCAAACAGGGAGGGUUUGACUUCCUCUUUUCCUGUUUGGAUGCCCUUUAUUUCUUUCUCUUGCCUGAUUACUCUGACUAGGACUUCCAAUACCAUGUUGAAUAGGAGUGGUGAGAGGGAAGAUUUACUUUACCAAAUAUCAGCUGGAAGUUAAACUCUUGAGGUUUAACUCACCUGGAAGGUGAGGUCACGAACAAGGAGUCAAGGCAGCCCUAGGCACUCCCUACAGAGCCAGUAAUGGACACACAGCCAGGGAGCAGGGACACAGGGAGGAGACAUUAGAUGCAUUUUGAGGAUGAAAUAGCUAUUGCCUUUUUCCCAAUUCACGUUACAGGGGCAACCUGAAACAUAUCAAAGACACAGCUUCCUUGUGCACCUUGGGCAUCUCUUUUAAGAAGAAAGGAGAAGGAGGAGAAAGGGGCAUUUAUGGAGCAUCUGCUCCUUUUGGGUUCAGCAUAAAGAACUCUUCUUACACAGGCUAAUUUAAGUCCUCCCAGGAUGGAGGUAUUGUCAUCCUCAUUUUACUAAUUAGGAUUCCCCUUUAACCACAUUCAAUAGCUAUUUUAAAAUUUGAGGCAGGGAGUGGUGGCUCAUGCCUAGAAUGUCUGCACUUUGGGAGGCCAAGGUGGGAGGAUGGCUUGAAUCCAGGAGUUCAAGACCAGCUUGGGCAACAUGAUAAGACCCCAUCUCCACCACCAAAAAACAAAUAAACAAAAACCCCCCAAAAAAAGGAAGAAAGAAAGAAAAGAAAGAAAAAUAAAAAGAAAUUAACCAGGCAUGGUGGCAUGAGCCUGUAAUUCCUGCUACUCUGGAGGCUGAGUUGGGAAGAUCACUUGAGCCUGAGAGGUCAAGGUUGCAGUGAGUCAUGAUCCCGCCACUGCACUCCAGCCUGGGUGACAGAGCAAGACCCUGUCUCCAAAAAAAAAAAAAAAAAAAAAAGAGAGACUCUGAUAUAUUAUUCUUCAGUAUGUUCCUUGCCCUUUUUAACUCUAGAAUUUCUGCUUGAUUCUUUUUAAUUAUUUCAAUUUCUUUGUUAACUUUAUCUGAUAGGAUUUUGAAUUCCUUUCCUGUGUUAUUUUGAAUUUCAUUGAGUUUACUCAAAAAUUCUAAAUUCUCUUGUCUGAAAGGUCACAUAUUUCUGUCUCUUCUUGAUUGGUCACUGGUGCCUUAUUUAGCUCAAUUGGUGAAGUAAUGUUUUCUUGGAUGGUCUUGAUGCUUGUGGAGUUUGUUGGUAUCUGGGCAUUGAAGAGUUGGGUAUUUAUUGUAGUCUUCGAAAUCUAGGCUUGUUUGUACUCAUCCUUCUUCAGAAGACUUUCCAGGUAUUCAGAGGGACUUGGGCAUUGUGAUCUAAAUUUUUGGUCAUAGCAGCCAUAUCUGUAUGAGGGGGCACCCCAAGCCCAGUAAUGCUGUGGCUUUUGCAGACUUGUAGAGGUACUGCCUUGGUGUUCUUAGAUAAGAUCUGGAAAGAUUCACUGGAUUACCAGGCAGAGACUCUUGUUCUCUUCCAUUACUUUCUCCCAAACAAAUGGAGUCUCUCUCUGCUGAGCUGCCUGGAGCUGGGGGUGGGGUGACAUAUGCACCCCUAUGAUUACAACUACUGGGACUAUGCUGGUCAGGCCUGAAGCCAGCUCAGCAAUGGGUCUCAAUCAAGGCCCUCAGUAACCUCUGCCUGGCUGCCACCUAUGUUUGUGCAAGGCCCUAAGGGCUCUACCAUUAGCAGGUGGCAAAGCCAGCCAGGCUUGCGUUCUUCUCUGCAGGGCAGCACAUUCCCCCUGUUCCCAGGUGGGUCCAGAGAUGUCGCCUGGGAGCCAGGGCCUGGAGUUCUGUUACUGUGGCUGAGCUUGCACCCAAGCUACAAGAUGACAUCCUACUCUUCCCUCACCUUUCUACAAGUAGAGGAGUCUCUUCUCAUGGCCACCAUUGUCCCAGGAUGUGAGGUCUGGAACAGCUGCAGCCAUUUUGCCACCAUGGGAAACCUGGGACAUCUGAACUGACUCCAUGAAGCCUGAAGAGAAAGCUAAUAAGAAGGCAGAGAGAAGAGGAAGAGUCUUGGUCUUUGGAAAUAUCUUUUGGAGCUGCUGGAUCAAGUAUCACUUGAAGUAUUAUUGAAUUUAUUCCCCGAAGGAGAGCGGCUAAGAGUAUUGCCCAGCCACAGGCUCUCAACCACCAACCCGAGCCUCAGAUUCUCCUCACACAGCCACAGCUGUACCACAUGGCCCACGUGGUAUGGUGCUAAUUCCUCUGACAUCUAAUUUUCACUUUUUGGCAAUAUUUGGUCUCAUCAAGCUUUACACAUAAAUAUUUUCAGCAAAGUGCUCCAAAUGCCUUUUUCAGAAAUCUGAAUCCACAUGAAAACAAUGGCAACAAGAAAAAGGUGUAAACUUUCCAGAACAGGCCCAGAAUUUGAAAAUGUGAUAAAGAGGUUAUUGUGCGCCCGAACUUUUCACACAAGAAUUGGAGGAGAUUUAACACAUGGAAUAAUAAACAGAGGAAGGCGGGCUAAUGCAGAGCAGAUGGGCCUGCAGGGCAGUGCUCAGCAUUUCAACAUCUUUCCCCUGGACCUUUGGACCCAAGGUGAUUGCAUGCUGGUGUCUUUAGCUAAAAAUAAAGUUAAUGUCUUUGGGGCAAUCAUAAAUAUGGCUGCUUCAGUUUCUGGGGUGAUUGGUGGUCUAAAGUUUUCAAGAACCUACUAUGUGAAAGGCAUUUGACAUUCACUAAUUUAAUCCCAACUACUACUCCAUUUUGAAGGAAAAAAAUGAAGGCUCUGAAAGUGUAAAUCGCUUACUGAAGGGCACACGGCCAGGAUGACAGCGGAGCCAGGAUCACCCCAGGUCUGUCUCAUUGCAUAUGUCAUGGCUCUGCAAACUGGGGCAAUAGGUGAGCAGGGAGAAGAGUCAUGGCCAAAUAAAAUUGAGACAUACCGAUACACACACACACACACACACACACACACACACAUUUACACGGUAACAGCCUUAUUAAGGUACAACUAAUGUACAAUAAGGUGUACAUAUUUAAAGGAUACUAUUUGAUAAGUUUUGACAUAUGUCUGUACCUGGGAAACCAUCACUACAAUCAUGAUGGUGAGCAUAUCUAAUACUCUCAAAAGUUUCCUCUUGCCUUUUGUAAUUCCAUUCUGCCAUCCCACCUGUCCCUCCCACUCCUGAUCCCAGGCAACCACUGAUCUGCUUUCUGUCACUAUAGAUUAGUUACAUUUUCUAGAAUUUUAUAUAAAUGAAAUAAUACAAUAUGUACUAUUUUUCUGUGUUUCUUUCACUCAGCAAAAUUAUUUUGAGAUUCAUUCAUGUUAUUGCUUGUUUAUUCCUUUAUAUUGUUGAGUAGUUAUUCCAUUGUAUGAAUAUGCCACAAUUUGUUUAUCUGUUCAUCUACAUAUGGACAUCUAUAGAUGUUUGCACUUUUGGGCUAUUAAAAAUCAAGUUGAUGUGAAUGUUUGUAGACAAGUCUCUGUAUGACAUGUAUUUUCUUUUCUUUUGGAUAAAAACCUAAGAAUGAAAUGACUAAAUUAUAUUGUAGGUACAUGUCUAACUUUUAAAGAAACCAUUAAGCUGUUUUCCAAAGUGGUUGCACCAUUUUACCUUCCUACCAGUAGUGUAUGAGAGUUCCAGUUCCCCAACAUCUUCACCAGUACUUGGUAUGGUCAGUCUUUUUAAUUUUUGUCAUACUAAUAGGCCUGUAGUGGUAUUAAGUCUCUUAUGGUUUUAAUUUGUAUUUCCCUAAUAACUAAUAAUAUUGAGUAUAUUUUCAUGUUUUUGUUUGCCAUCUAUAUGUCUUUAUUAGUUAAGUGUUUAUUCAUAUCUUUUGCAUAUUUUUAUUGAGUUGCCUCUUUUUCUUUUCUUAUCAUUGAGUUUUGAGAGUUCUUUACAUAUUCUGAGUACAAGUCUUUUAAUAGAUACAUGUUUUGCAAACAUUUUCUCCAAGUCUAGGCUAGUAUUUUUAUUUUCUUAACAGUGUCUUUUGAAGAGCAG